AGCGAACGCUGGCGGCAGGCUUAACACAUGCAAGUCGAGCGGGCGUAGCAAUACGUCAGCGGCAGACGGGUGAGUAACGCGUGGGAACAUACCUUUUGGUUCGGAACAACACAGGGAAACUUGUGCUAAUACCGGAUAAGCCCUUACGGGGAAAGAUUUAUCGCCGAAAGAUUGGCCCGCGUCUGAUUAGCUAGUUGGUAGGGUAAUGGCCUACCAAGGCGACGAUCAGUAGCUGGUCUGAGAGGAUGAUCAGCCACAUUGGGACUGAGACACGGCCCAAACUCCUACGGGAGGCAGCAGUGGGGAAUAUUGGACAAUGGGGGCAACCCUGAUCCAGCCAUGCCGCGUGAGUGAUGAAGGCCCUAGGGUUGUAAAGCUCUUUUGUGCGGGAAGAUAAUGACGGUACCGCAAGAAUAAGC
Molecule: ribosomal RNA, 419 nt
Filed under: bacterium Ellin6017
Lineage: Bacteria; Pseudomonadati; Pseudomonadota; Alphaproteobacteria; Hyphomicrobiales; Nitrobacteraceae
Also listed under: 1 other name
Description: bacterial SSU rRNA
Rfam family: Bacterial small subunit ribosomal RNA
Source: RNAcentral